AUCUAACCCUGAUGGAAGUGAGAAUCCUGUUAUUGUGAGAUUGCUUCGCAAGCUCGCAAUGACAGAUUGUAGCGAACAGCAGGAACACGG
Molecule: non-coding RNA, 90 nt
Organism: Flavobacteria bacterium GWF1_32_7
Lineage: Bacteria; Pseudomonadati; Bacteroidota; Flavobacteriia
Source: Rfam